GAUGAACGCUAGCGGCAGGCCUAACACAUGCAAGUCGAGGGGGAGGUUACUUUCGGGUAACUGAGACCGGCGUACGGGUGCGUAACGCGUAUACAAUCUGCCUUUCACUGGGGGAUAGCCCGAAGAAAUUUGGAUUAAUACCCCAUAGUAUAGUAAUACGGCAUCGUGAUGCUAUUAAAGCUUAGGUGGUGAAAGAUGAGUAUGCGUUCUAUUAGCUAGUUGGAGAGGUAACGGCUCCCCAAGGCGAUGAUAGAUAGGGGUUCUGAGAGGGAUGUCCCCCACACUGGUACUGAGAUACGGACCAGACUCCUACAGGAGGCAGCAGUGAGGAAUAUUGGACAAUGGUCGGAAGACUGAUCCAGCCAUGCCGCGUGCAGGAUGAAGGUCUUAUGGAUUGUAAACUGCUUUUGUAAGGGAAGAAUAAGGGCUACGCGUAGUUUGAUGACGGUACCUUACGAAUAAGCAUCGGCUAACUCCGUG
RNAcentral lists this ribosomal RNA (480 nucleotides) under uncultured bacterium. RNAcentral's name for it is "partial 16S ribosomal RNA". It matches the Rfam family "Bacterial small subunit ribosomal RNA", at positions 28 to 507 of the family's 1533-position model. The record is from RNAcentral.